CCCUAGCCCUGAUAGUAGCGGAAAUCCUUGGCCUUUUUUCUUUAAAAAGGACAAGAUUGUAGCGGAUAGCAGGAAAUAGC
Flavobacterium sp. KMS is the source of this 80-nucleotide small RNA. It matches the Rfam family "Flavo-1 RNA". The record is from Rfam. NCBI's taxonomy places the organism in Bacteria, Pseudomonadati, Bacteroidota, Flavobacteriia, Flavobacteriales, Flavobacteriaceae.